AUCUGCAGAACACACUGUGCCCAAAACUGUUAAAAACACAUUGAAAACAGAUUGAUGGUAAAUGUACUGCAUUUCUGCAGGGACCAGAUUGAAAUAAGUAGAAAAUCUUAGAACACAACACAAACAGCUGAUAAAAAUUUCAGUUGAAAGCCUGCCCAGGUGUCCUGGGGACAGCUUCAGAUGGCAGUAGUUUCAAAACAAGGAUCAAGGGACACAGGUUGGUGGGGAAAGAAGAGUGGCAAGGAGAAGGAUUUGUGGAAGACAAAGGAGAAGAAAACCAAGAGCGGUGGUCUCUGAUGAGAUAAGGGCCACAAUUAUUGGCCAUGUUGUUGAAAGAAAUAGUACGGAUUUCCUGGCACACAACAGGAUACAAAGGUUGCCUCCCAGGCAACAAUGCAAUAAAACUGCGAGAAAUUCAGGACGGAGUGCUGGCAGAACAAUCUCACUUUUGGAACUGUGAAUUCGGUCAGACAAUUGCCAGAGUCCUGGAGAAACAUAAAUUAAGAACGAAACAGUUGUACACUGUACCAUUUAAGAGAAACUGAAUGUGUGAAAGAACUCCGUUAUCAAUAUGUCCAGAAAGUAAUGGAGGUGGAAACACUGGAAACACCACAUUCAUUUGUAUUUAUCGAUGAAGCUGGAUUUAACCUUUAAGUAACUGAUUAGCCCUCAAUUAUUUGUUCAAAUUACAGUAUGUACUUUUAGUUUCUACUUUUUUUUUUCUCAUUACUGUAAUUCUGUAAAUUACUACAGACUAUUGAAGCAAACUGCUAAUUUUCAUUUACCUUAAGGAAUUGUUAUGUUCAAAAAAUUUAAAUAAAUCAUGUGAAAGAA
This is a long non-coding RNA of Micropterus salmoides (largemouth bass), 834 nucleotides long. RefSeq lists it as uncharacterized. The transcript has 3 exons. NCBI's taxonomy places the organism in Eukaryota, Metazoa, Chordata, Actinopteri, Centrarchiformes, Centrarchidae. The record is from RefSeq and is a predicted model, not a curated record.